AACACCCGGACCCAUCCCGAACCCGGAAGUUAAGCCCUCCAGCGCCGAUGGUACUGCGACGGAGACGUCGUGGGAGAGUAGGACGUCGCCGGAC
Molecule: ribosomal RNA, 94 nt
Filed under: Propionibacteriales bacterium
Lineage: Bacteria; Bacillati; Actinomycetota; Actinomycetes; Propionibacteriales
Source: RNAcentral